CAGAGAGGGUGAGAAUCCCGUCUGGGAUGGGGUGUCCGCGCCCGUCUGAAGCUCCUUCGACGAGUCGAGUUGUUUGGGAAUGCAGCUCUAAAUGGGUGGUAAAUUUCAUCUAAAGCUAAAUACUGGCCGGAGACCGAUAGCGCACAACUACAGUGAUCGAAAGAUGAAAAGCACUUUGAAAAGAGAGUUAAAAAGCACGUGAAAUUGUUGAAAGGGAAGCGCUUGCGACCAGACUCGCCUCCAGGGUUCAGCCGGCAUUCGUGCCGGUGUACUUCCCUGGGGGCGGGCCAGCGUCGGUUUGGGCGGCCGGUCAAAGGCUCCCGGAAUGUAGUGCCCUCCGGGGCACCUUAUAGCCGGGAGUGCAAUGCGGCCAGCCUGGACCGAGGAACGCGCUUCGGCACGGACGCUGGCAUA
RNAcentral lists this ribosomal RNA (414 nucleotides) under Aspergillus flavus. RNAcentral describes it as "eukaryotic LSU rRNA". It matches the Rfam family "Eukaryotic large subunit ribosomal RNA", at positions 204 to 633 of the family's 3401-position model. The record is from RNAcentral. Lineage: Eukaryota; Fungi; Ascomycota; Eurotiomycetes; Eurotiales; Aspergillaceae.